Molecule: ribosomal RNA, 440 nt
Filed under: uncultured bacterium
Lineage: Bacteria
Description: partial 16S ribosomal RNA
Rfam family: Bacterial small subunit ribosomal RNA
Source: RNAcentral
UGGGGAAUUUUGGACAAUGGGCGCAAGCCUGAUCCAGCCAUGCCGCGUGCGGGAAGAAGGCCUUCGGGUUGUAAACCGCUUUUGUCAGGGAAGAAAUCUUCUGAGUUAAUACCUCGGGAGGAUGACGGUACCUGAAGAAUAAGCACCGGCUAACUACGUGCCAGCAGCCGCGGUAAUACGUAGGGUGCAAGCGUUAAUCGGAAUUACUGGGCGUAAAGCGUGCGCAGGCGGUUUUGUAAGACAGAGGUGAAAUCCCCGGGCUCAACCUGGGAACUGCCUUUGUGACUGCAAGGCUUGAGUGCGGCAGAGGGGGGAAUGGAAUUCCGCGUGUAGCAGUGAAAUGCGUAGAUAUGCGGAGGAACACCGAUGGCGAAGGCAAUCCCCUUGGGCCUGCACUGACGCUCAUGCACGAAAGCGUGGGGAGCAAACAGGAUUAGAUA